GCCACGGUGGUCCAGCGGUUAGAACGCUGGCCUUGUAAUCCUGGGGUCUCGGGUUCGAUUCCCGGCGGUGCCA
Molecule: transfer RNA, 73 nt
Filed under: Zootermopsis nevadensis
Lineage: Eukaryota; Metazoa; Arthropoda; Insecta; Blattodea; Termopsidae
Rfam family: tRNA
About the family: Transfer RNA (tRNA) molecules are approximately 80 nucleotides in length.
Source: Rfam by way of RNAcentral